UGGGGAAUAUUGCACAAUGGGCGCAAGCCUGAUGCAGCCAUGCCGCGUGUGUGAAGAAGGCCUUCGGGUUGUAAAGCACUUUCAGCGGGGAGGAAGGCGGUGAGGUUAAUAACCUCAUCGAUUGACGUUACCCGCAGAAGAAGCACCGGCUAACUCCGUGCCAGCAGCCGCGGUAAUACGGAGGGUGCAAGCGUUAAUCGGAAUUACUGGGCGUAAAGCGCACGCAGGCGGUCUGUCAAGUCGGAUGUGAAAUCCCCGGGCUCAACCUGGGAACUGCAUUCGAAACUGGCAGGCUAGAGUCUUGUAGAGGGGGGUAGAAUUCCAGGUGUAGCGGUGAAAUGCGUAGAGAUCUGGAGGAAUACCGGUGGCGAAGGCGGCCCCCUGGACAGAGACUGACGCUCAGGUGCGAAAGCGUGGGGAGCAAACAGG
RNAcentral lists this ribosomal RNA (429 nucleotides) under Chloroflexota bacterium. RNAcentral's name for it is "Chloroflexi bacterium partial 16S ribosomal RNA". It matches the Rfam family "Bacterial small subunit ribosomal RNA", at positions 355 to 776 of the family's 1533-position model. The record is from RNAcentral. Lineage: Bacteria; Bacillati; Chloroflexota.